Molecule: ribosomal RNA, 234 nt
Filed under: uncultured bacterium
Lineage: Bacteria
Description: partial 16S ribosomal RNA
Rfam family: Bacterial small subunit ribosomal RNA
Source: RNAcentral
CGAACGGGUGAGUAACACGUGGGUGAUCUGCCCUGCACUUUGGGAUAAGCCUGGGAAACUGGGUCUAAUACCGGAUAGGACUACGGCCUGCAUGGGUUGUGGUGGAAAGCUUUUGCGGUGUGGGAUGGGCCCGCGGCCUAUCAGCUUGUUGGUGGGGUGAUGGCCUACCAAGGCGACGACGGGUAGCCGGCCUGAGAGGGUGUCCGGCCACACUGGGACUGAGAUACGGCCCAG